CAGGAGGUAGCAUAGUGGUUAGUGCUGGUGCCUUGCACUCAAAGGAUCAAGGUUUGAAUCCUACCUCCUUCUGU
This 74-nucleotide transfer RNA is filed under the name Scleropages formosus (Asian bonytongue). RNAcentral describes it as "tRNA-Ala". Lineage: Eukaryota; Metazoa; Chordata; Actinopteri; Osteoglossiformes; Osteoglossidae. The record is from RNAcentral.